GACGAACGCUGGCGGCGUGCCUAAUACAUGCAAGUCGAACGCUUUUUCUUUCACCGGAGCUUGCUCCACCGGAAGAAAAAGAGUGGCGAACGGGUGAGUAACACGUGGGUAACCUGCCCAUCAGAAGGGGAUAACACUUGGGAACAGGUGCUAAUACCGUAUAACACUAUUUUCCGCAUGGAAGAAAGUUGAAAGGCGCUUUUGCGUCACUGAUGGAUGGACCCGCGGUGCAUUAGCUAGUUGGUGAGGUAACGGCUCACCAAGGCAACGAUGCAUAGCCGACCUGAGAGGGUGAUCGGCCACACUGGGACUGAGACACGGCCCAGACUCCUACGGGAGGCAGCAGUAGGGAAUCUUCGGCAAUGGACGAAAGUCUGACCGAGCAACGCCGCGUGAGUGAAGAAGGUUUUCGGAUCGUAAAACUCUGUUGUUAGAGAAGAACAAGGAUGAGAGUAGAACGUUCAUCCCUUGACGGUAUCUAACCAGAAAGCCACGGCUAACUACGUGCCAGCCGCCGCGGUAA
RNAcentral lists this ribosomal RNA (523 nucleotides) under uncultured bacterium. RNAcentral describes it as "partial 16S ribosomal RNA". It matches the Rfam family "Bacterial small subunit ribosomal RNA", at positions 28 to 523 of the family's 1533-position model. The record is from RNAcentral.